CAGAACAUUAACAAAGGUUCUGAAAGUAAAGAUUGAGCUGCUUGGGUCCUUAUGGCAGACAGAUCAGAAAGAGGAAGAGCUUUGAAUCACAGCUAACUGCGUCACAUCGUUUAUGUGAAAUUCUAGUGAAACUAAAGUAAUGGCGCGUUCACACCAAAAGCGAAGGGGCGGCGCAACUUCCAUACAAAGUCAACGUAUAGACGCGUUCCAGGCAACGGGCGCGUUCGACUCCAUACAAAGUCAACGUAUCGUAUAGUAAUGCUGUAGCCUACUUUAUAUCGUCUGUGGGGAAAUCCUGGGACUCUCAGAGUAUCAAACUACAACUGGAAAAAAAGAAAAGCUUAGGAAACACUUUUAUUUUUUGAAAACUUCUGAGUUAAGGGACAUAAAAGACAACAACCCCAAAAACACGCUGUCGGAAACACCUCGGAUCAAACCACAGGACAAACCCGGAAGAGGGAAGACAUGCAGUAAAGGACCACCUGUCUGAAUCAGGCAGCCUCCGGCUGUAUGUGACCUCAUCAGCCCAGAGUGAAGGGACGUACAGGUGUACUCUCAGGUACGCAGACGAAGAAGACGUAACCCACAUUGAACCGAAGAUAUUGGAAGACCCUAUUGAAGAGGGAUCUUCUAGCACAGUUGGGAUCAUUUUAGGAGUCGUGGAUCCCGUUAUCAUUUUAAUCAUCGCCAUCAACAGUUUAUAUAUCAUAUAACCGAUAAAGGCCAAAGAAGGACGAGGAAGGAGCUCAAACAACCAAAGUACUGAACCCAGAGGAACGACCAGGAAGUCGUUCCUCUGUGAGAUAACGGGUUCAACCUCCUGACCUUAUUACCGUACCAUCAGACACAGCAGGGUAAGACUGUGGUCUCAGGAGCCAGGAUCCUUGUUUACGUUGUAAUUUAGGGGUGAAACAGUAGAAUGGGGGGGGGGGGGGUUCUUUGUAGGAGGGACUGACCAGCUUCAGGAGUGAGGCCGAGGUGUGUAAAAGGUGAGUAGGUGUGGUCUGUAGGGGCUGAUUCUGACCUCUGAGUCCUCUGCUGGGAUUAGAGUCUGCCGCUAUGUUGCCCGGUGUCUUCAUCUGAGAUGGACUGGGAGGAUAUUUUUAUUCUGCAACAGAAAAAGACUUUGAAAAGGUCAAACAGACAAUGUGAUGGGUACAACCGAGGCAUCUUCAGCACCACAACAACAACAACAACAUGGACGACCUUGGUGACCCACCACAGAGCACACGUCCAAGAGCAAAGAAACAUGAGUCUGGAUUAAUGGGAAUGAAACGUUUGACUAAAUACACGAUUUGUUUGGUCACUUGAAAAGCGUUGACAUUUGUCAUCCUUAUGAUCCCACUAUUUUCUUUUACUUUGACAUUUAUUAGAAGUCGUGAAACCAAAAUUAAUCUUUAAGGCAAUGAAUGGAUGAGUUGUAACAUGCGUCCCUUAUCUUACUGUACCGUCAGUGGAAUUGUCUUCUACACAGAUUUAAAGGAAAACCAUCUCCAACGGAUUACACCAAUUGUUAUGUAUUAAUAUUGAUCAUUUUAUUUGUAUUAGGCCUAUAAAGUUGUAAUCAGCCA
Gadus morhua (Atlantic cod) is the source of this 1571-nucleotide long non-coding RNA. RefSeq lists it as uncharacterized. NCBI's taxonomy places the organism in Eukaryota, Metazoa, Chordata, Actinopteri, Gadiformes, Gadidae. The transcript is spliced from 4 exons. The record is from RefSeq and is a predicted model, not a curated record.